Molecule: transfer RNA, 72 nt
Filed under: Biomphalaria glabrata
Lineage: Eukaryota; Metazoa; Mollusca; Gastropoda; Planorbidae
Rfam family: tRNA
About the family: Transfer RNA (tRNA) molecules are approximately 80 nucleotides in length. Their secondary structure includes four short double-helical elements and three loops (D, anti-codon, and T loops).
Source: Rfam by way of RNAcentral
UUAUCAGUAGUUGAGUGGUAAAGCACUUGACUUCUAAACCAGGAGUCCCGGGUUUGAAUCCUGGUGAAGAAU